GCCGGCUUAGCUCAGUGGUGAGAGCGUCUGUCUUGUAAACAGAAGGUCGCAGGUUCGAUCCCUGCAUUCGGCA
RNAcentral lists this transfer RNA (73 nucleotides) under Thelazia callipaeda (thelaziosis nematode). It matches the Rfam family "tRNA". From Rfam's summary of the family: Transfer RNA (tRNA) molecules are approximately 80 nucleotides in length. Their secondary structure includes four short double-helical elements and three loops (D, anti-codon, and T loops). Lineage: Eukaryota; Metazoa; Nematoda; Chromadorea; Rhabditida; Thelaziidae. The record is from Rfam by way of RNAcentral.